UACAGAGGGGGCAAGCGUUGUUCGGAAUUACUGGGCGUAAAGGGCGCGUAGGCGGCCCUCUAAGUCAGACGUGAAAUCCCCCGGCUUAACCUGGGAACUGCGUCUGAUACUGGAGGGCUUGAGUAUGGGAGAGGGAUGUAGAAUUCCAGGUGUAGCGGUGAAAUGCGUAGAUAUCUGGAGGAAUACCGGUGGCGAAGGCGGCAUCCUGGACCAUUACUGACGCUGAGGCGCGAAAGCUAGGGGAGCAAACGGG
Molecule: ribosomal RNA, 253 nt
Filed under: uncultured bacterium
Lineage: Bacteria
Description: partial 16S ribosomal RNA
Rfam family: Bacterial small subunit ribosomal RNA
Source: RNAcentral